RNAcentral lists this transfer RNA (71 nucleotides) under bacterium. RNAcentral's name for it is "tRNA-Gln". It matches the Rfam family "tRNA". From Rfam's summary of the family: Transfer RNA (tRNA) molecules are approximately 80 nucleotides in length. The record is from RNAcentral.
AGCGGUAUCGCCAAAAGGUAAGGCAGUAGACUUUGACUCUAUCAUUGCAGGUUCGAUUCCUGCUACCGCUG